UGAGGGAAUAUUUGGGGUCAAUGGGCGGGAGCCUGAACCAGCCAAGUCGCGUGAGGGACGAAGGCCCUACGGGUUGUAAACCUCUUUUAUAAGGGAAUAAAGGACAUCACGUGUGGUGUUUUGCAUGUACCUUAUGAAUAAGCAUCGGCUAACUCCGUGCCAGCAGCCGCGGUAAUACGGAGGAUGCGAGCGUUAUCCGGAUUCAUUGGGUUUAAAGGGUGCGUAGGUGGCUUGUUAAGUCAGCGGUGAAAGUCAGUGGCUCAACCAUUGAAUUGCCGUUGAAACUGGCGAGCUUGAGUACGUACGGGGCAGGCGGAAUGCGUGGUGUAGCGGUGAAAUGCAUAGAUAUCACGCAGAACCCCGAUCGCGAAGGCAGCCUGCCAGGCCGUGACUGACACUGAUGCACGAAAGCGUGGGGGAGCAAACA
Molecule: ribosomal RNA, 427 nt
Filed under: uncultured Parabacteroides sp.
Lineage: Bacteria; Pseudomonadati; Bacteroidota; Bacteroidia; Bacteroidales; Tannerellaceae
Description: bacterial SSU rRNA
Rfam family: Bacterial small subunit ribosomal RNA
Source: RNAcentral